RNAcentral lists this microRNA precursor (75 nucleotides) under Mus spretus (western wild mouse). RNAcentral's name for it is "microRNA 6905 (ENSMSPG00010015130.1)". Lineage: Eukaryota; Metazoa; Chordata; Mammalia; Rodentia; Muridae. The record is from RNAcentral.
GGGAGACUGGGCAGGUUGAGUUGAAUGAUUUGAUCAUUUAGUCACUUAAAUAACCUAACCUUAUCUGCCCGAUAG